AUUGAACGCUGGCGGCAGGCUUAACACAUGCAAGUCGAGCGGGGUGAUGGUGCUUGCACUAUCACUUAGCGGCGGACGGGUGAGUAAUGCUUAGGAAUCUGCCUAUUAGUGGGGGACGACAUCUCGAAAGGGAUGCUAAUACCGCAUACGUCCUACGGGAGAAAGCAGGGGAUCACUUGUGACCUUGCGCUAAUAGAUGAGCCUAAGUCGGAUUAGCUAGUGGGUGGGGUAAAGGCCUACCAAGGCGACGAUCUGUAGCGGGUCUGAGAGGAUGAUCCACCACACUGGGACUGAGACACGGCCCAGACUCCUACGGGAGGCAGCAGUGGGGAAUAUUGGACAAUGGGGGGAACCCUGAUCCAGCCAUGCCGCGUGUGUGAAGAAGGCCUUAUGGUUGUAAAGCACUUUAAGCGAGGAGGAGGCUCUUUUGGUUAAUACCCAAGAUGAGUGGACGUUGCUCGCAGAAUAAGCACCGGCUAACUCUGUGCCAGCAGCCGCGGUAA
RNAcentral lists this ribosomal RNA (503 nucleotides) under uncultured bacterium. Its description in RNAcentral is "partial 16S ribosomal RNA". It matches the Rfam family "Bacterial small subunit ribosomal RNA", at positions 30 to 523 of the family's 1533-position model. The record is from RNAcentral.